GUGGGAGGGGAAGGGGAAAAGAAAGAAGGGAAAGGAAAAAAUAUGAGAAAAGAAAAAAAUGUAAAUGAAGUCUAUGUAAAUAGGGAAGGAUGGAGGGGGUGAAGGGUGCUCAGGUAAUGGGGAAAAAAAAUCAGAACCAAGAUACAUCAUAUACAGGUACAAGCACCCAAUGAUAAAUGUAAACACAUUGUAUACCUAAAAUGUACCAAUAAACGAACUUAAGAAUAAAAAAAAAUAGAAGGGAAGGUUUAUUUUGGCUCAUAGUUUGUAGAGGUUUCAGCCCAUAAUCAGCUGGCUCCAAGACAUGCUGGCAUGCCAGAAAGACCUUGCAGAGGAGAAACAUUUCAUGGCAAAGUAGGGCAGGCUGAAGGCAGCGAAGCUGCAAAGUAGCAAAGUGACAGCACCCCAGCAGACUUCCUCUCCCUUUUAUCCCUUUCAGGCUACUCACCCUUUGACUGGUGUCACCCACACCAAAGGCGGGCCUUCCCAUUAUCCACACCCAGAACUAUGCCAAACCAAUCAGUGGACUAAUUUAGUAAUCACACACCCUUAAUCCGAGCAUCACACAGUUAAUCCCAGUAUCACACACCCUAGAUCUAGCCACUGAGGCUUUGGGGGGACCUCUAGACACAAGCCAUAACACACUAUUUUCCCUUUCAUUCUUGCCACACUAGCUACACUGAUUUUCUAUGGGAUCUUCAGCUCCCUACUAUCUCAGAGCUGUUAUAUAUGCAAAUCUUUCUACUUGGAGUAUAUGUAACCUCUCUCUUCAUCCUUUCAGUCUCAAAUAUCACAACAUCAGGAAGGAAACCUUUAAUUCUUUGUAAUAGUUCCAUUCAACAUCAUCAAUUUUGCUCAUAAAUCAUACUCACCAAACUUGCUUACCACGAGCGGCAAGCCCACUACCUCUCACUCACUGCUUCCACCGGGCUUUACCUCCUCAGUAUCCUCAUCAUGCCACCACAGUUCCCCAUGGAUACACUCACCACAACAUGCAUCUCCAUUAGAUACACUCUCUAAUCCCACCCACUACCACCAGCUUCACUCACUUCUUCUAGAAUCCAUGCUCCCCACUUCCCCAUGUCCUCACCACUCCCUAUUGUCCACACUCAGAAGUCCACUGCACCAUCAUUCCUUGCACAUCCAGCAGGUCAAAAAUAUAAUCAGCCUUGCCUCACUGCCCCUACUAAUGAGCAAAGGCCCUCCUAGUUGUAAUUAAGGUAUCAGCUUGCUUCAGUGAUGUCUUCAUUGACCAUUCAGUCUGGAUUAGGUUUCUCUGGUUCUCUUUCAUAGUAAUGGUCACAACAUAAUAAUGCAGUACUUUUGGUGACUGUGUUUAAUAGUUGUCACUCCACAGUGGCUAUGUUUAUCUUUGCACUGCUAUUUCCCCUAUACCUAGAACACAGUAGAUCUCAAAAUUACUUGCUAAAUCUUGUUGUAUCAAGUGUUACAGAUUUUUAAAAGUCUGAGGCUCUAGGCUGCUAAUGCACUCAGAAUCACUGAGUUAAGUUCCAGAGCUUGGAUUCAAAUUCAGAUGUGGCUGUCUAUGAAUUCUGUAGGCUAUUAACCAUUAUGCCCCUUGUUUCUGCCAGUCCAGCAACAUCAACCACAUUGGAAACUUGUUAGAAAUGCAGAUUCUCAUGAACAGCUCCAGACUUCCUGAGUCAGAAAUCCCGAAUGUGAAGGCCAGCACUCUCUGUUUUAACAAGUCUUCCAUGUGGUUUCUACUUGGUAGGAAAUAGCCUUAAAGCUGUCUAGCAUAAGGCUUAGUAUAUGUAUGUGUUUAAUAAGUAUGUAUAGAAUAACAGUGAAGCCAGCUCUCAGGCACAUUAGGUUAUAAAAAACAUGAAUUGAUUUUUUUCACCAAAACCUCCAUUCUAGCCAGACUGCUAGGACAAUGAAAACACAACAAUAAGGGACACGAUGCUUGCUUGGAGAAAAGUUUCAAGAUGAAAUUAUUCGUUUAUUACCAUCUCUUCCUUCCUUCUUUUAGGUCAGUCUUUUCUAUGGAAAUAUCUCUGACUCCUAUAGUUCAUAGAUAGUUUUCUUCUUUGACUUCUUUAGAAUAUUAUUUUAGCUACCUAAGAGUUGUGUAUGAUAAUGUAUUUUCUAUGUCUUAGGUAUAUAAGCCAUGCUUUCCAUAAUGAAAAAAUUUUUUAGCAUAUGGACUGUGCCUUUUCUUUUAUCUCCUCUAGUUUUUACCAUGGUCUUAAAUAUUUAGCAACAUACUGGGAUAAUGUUGUAAUAAAUUAUUGUCUCUCCAUGUAUGUUUAUGCUUAGCUCUUUCCAUAUGCAGCAAAAACAUUCAUCACCUAAGAAAAAGUUUGUUAUAUUAGAAGAGACAACAACAAAAAACUAAAAUUUUAGUCUUUAAAUUUUAAAAGCCUAUUUUGAAUUUCUGAAACCAAAGCUUUUGUGCUUCAAAUGCUCAAGUCCUUAAGAAUCCAGGAAAUAUUACUUUAUAACAUACACAACAGCUUUGAAAGGAUACAGGAUCAGCAAAGCUAGUUUUCCUCUUCUCAAACUACAUGGAAUUUCUGUUGUUUGUAAGAAGAGUGAGAGUUACAAUGAAAGAGUGUGUCCUUGGUGUAUUCCCUAAAAGAGGUGCUAUAACCUUGCAGGAUGAGACCCAGGUCACAGAAAUAAUAUUCUCCUCAAUGAAUGGCGUUGGGGUAGAGAAAUGAGAGAGCACAUGAGGCUUUGCCUUGCCUCUCUCCAUGCCUCUCCCCACACAGAGGGAAGCACCAAGCCCUGUAGAGUGCUCCCAAGCCCACCUAGCACCAGAGCAAUAGAGUGGAGCUGGAUGAAUGUGUUAAAUCAGGAGACAGAGCUUGAGACUUCCUCACAAUUCCUUGGACUCUGUGAGGUAUUAGAAGAGCCAAGUGUCUUCUGAAUACAUACAAGAGACCCUGAGACACUAGAGAACGUAAGCUCAAAGUUGAGAAGGCACAGCAAUAAUGAGUGCAUCUAUAACUGAGCCCUGGGUGGAAUUGGAAUAUUCAUGAAGCACAUGUGCAGAGGCAAUCAAGGAAACACAUGACAAUGCACGUUUCAGUGGAUUCUAGGGUGAAUAGUAGCAACAGUGAAGAUCAAAUACUUUCAUAUCUCAGCCACAAGCCCGGAGAUGGUGGGAGAGAGGUUGGAUUGACUGAGAUUAAUUUUACAUACUACUUGGAGGAAUGGGGCUCAAAUAGACUGAGAUAUAAGAAAAGCAUCCCUGUGCCCCUGAAUUAGUGGGUUGACAUUUAUAUCUCCCUCACCAAGACACAACAUAUUUGAUCAAUUGGAUUGAAUUCAUGAGCCAGGUCCUUUUUACUGAGUCCAAUACUUAGGAGAUAUUGAAUCAGAAAAUAAGAAGUUCCUGGGCUGGGGAUUUAGCUCGGUGGUUCCGCCGCCUGCCUAGCAAAUGCAAGGUCCUGAGUUCGAUCUCCGGUAUCAAAAAAAAAAAAUUUGAGAAACCAGAAAAUAAGAAGUUCCUGUGGGAUUUUGUUAAAUUACUAAAGUACACUUUGAGCUGUCCUAACCUCAGAAUGCUUUUACUCCACAACUUCUCAAUUUCUCUAGUUUUUCAUAGUGAUGAUAGUGUUUCAAAUAAUAUACAUUAUAAUAUCCCUGGUUACCCAAAGGAGAUUCUAGGUAGAGUCAUUCCACUACUUACUAAGGCAGGAGGGUGAGCACAGGUAAUUUGGAGUUUUCACACAUACAGAGAGGUUGAAAUGAGAAGAGGUUUUAAAAUAAACCUCUGACACCCAACUUUGCAUGUUGUUACAAAUAUAUUACUUGAUCAUUGAUUUUUAGCGGGUAAAGAGAACUGGACAGGUUCAUAUUUUUUAAGUGGGUGUUGUAUUUAUUCAUUAAACUGUGUGGGGCUACUGUGAUUAUGCUAUAGAUAGACAGAGGUCUCAAGAGUCAGUUGGGGCUAUUGAAUCACAUAUGAUUCAACAGGCCUCUCAAUUGAAGAAGCCUGCUAUUGAGGGACUUCCCUAGGGUAAUCAAUUAAAAGCAGUAGCAUUAAGCAGCUAAUGGUGCUGGGAAAUCAAUACUGGCAUGGGAAGGAAACAAUUCUCUGCAAUGAUUUCUAUGCAAAUUCUGAUUCUUGUACCUAAUGACAUUAAGAUUCACUAAUGACACAUAACUCAAGGAGGUUCUUCUUUCUCAGCUAAAUGAAAAGCACAUUUUUUUGCCCCUACAACCUUGGCAGCCACUUGGGAGGCCUAUGUUCACUGCUGGGAAGCAAUAGAUUAAGCACCCUUGAUGAGCCACCAGAGAUACACAGCAUGGAGAGUAAUCUCUGUCAUUCUUACAUUUGGAACUGGCAAUAAACAAUAGCAAAGCUUCUGGAUGCAAGGGUCUUCCUAAGUCUCCCAGGCUAACCUUAAGCUUGCACUCCUCCUGCAUCAGCCUCAAGAGUAGCUGGGAUUACAGAUACUGAGUUGUGCCUCGAUCUGAACAAAAAGUCAUUUCCUAACUCCAGUUACAACUGAGACCUGACCCUGGUCACAGAUUGAGCCUUAAUUUGGCCACAGAUGCACCUAAACUCCAGGUAACUGUUACACAAAUGUGAUUAUUAUUGAUGGAUUAAUUCAAACUCAUUCUCACCUUGAGAGACAGGGUUCAAGGCCUGCACUUUACUAGAGGUGGGUCAGGUGCUGAGCCUUUUGUCCUGUGAAGGACAGUGCAUUAUUGAUAUAGCAAUAUUCCUGUCAGUGUUUCUCCUUCAAUUAUCUAGCUGCAGAGAACACAGAUACUUUAUUGCCAUGGUAGACAGUCAUUUUCUUAAAAAGAUUUUUAAAAAAUGGAAAGAGAGAAAUGAAAAUCAAGUGAAAGAAGUAAUUUCCUGUGACUGAAAACAUAAAGCAAAUGCCUGAACAUGAUUUUAAAUGGGUCUCUGAAUGUGGCUGAUGGAAGGAAACUUUCUUGGAAAGGACACAACUGUGAGCACUGCUGGGUAUAGAGUACAUUAGGGAGCAAGGAAGCCAGGAAUCAUGUACUGAAAGUCAGUUUCUAGUAAAUGAAUAGGUUUCAAGCAUCUACUAAAUCCAGUCUAGAUAAGUGUUUUUUUAGAAUAAUAAUUUUUAAAAAUCAUGAAGUGACUUGAUAAGGUAGUAAUGAAACUGUCAGAGCCUCCAAUUUGACUGAAGCUGAGGUGUAGUAGGGGAUUUAUUUUAAUAUCUAAAUCCUUUUAGAAUGUUAGGAGGAGGUAAGCUGAAAACUUAGAGCUCCAUUUGAAUAGCAUUAUCUAGAGUGGGGGCUUUGGAAUGUACUAGAGCAGCUUUGUUCAAUAGAACUUUCUGUGAUGAUGGGAAUGGUCUGUAUCUGAACUGUCAGUGACAGAGCAGCAAGCCACAUGUGGCUCUUAAGCACUUGAAAUGUGGCUAAUGUGGUCAAGAAAAACAACUGUAAAAUGAAUUUAAUUGUAAUUAAGUCAAAAUUAAAUAGCCAUCAGUGGCUAUCAUAUAGGAUGGCAUAGCACUAGAAUUUAGGUCAGCCCCCAUAGCCAGAAGCAACAAAAAAGCCCAAGGAAAGGGGAAAACAACACACAAACUCAUAUUUCUGCACAGCUUUAUAUCUUUAUAUUUCUGUUGAGAAGCAUAGCCUUUUGUUAGCUUUGGAUAGACCUGGUAACUUAAUUUUCGAUGAGAUUAUGCUAGUUGUGUUUAUUCAGCUUUUCAUUACUGUAACAAAUACCUGAGUUAAAUCAACUUAUAAAGAGGAAAUGUAUAUUGUGCAUCACAGUUUUGGAAGUUUCUGACAACACAUCAGGGUGGAAGUGUAUGGUGGAACAAAACUGCUCACCUCAUGGCCAGGAAUUGAAACAGAAAGAAAGAGGAAGAGAUGGAAGAGACUGGGACCCCACAGUCCUCUUUGAGAAAACACACCCAAUGAAAUAAAACUUCCUGCUAGGCCCUACCUCUUCAACUUUUCAACACCUCCAACUAGUACCUAGCUGGGGAUGAGCCUUUAACACAUGGGCCUUUGGGGGACAUUUAAUAUCCAAACUAUAGGGCCAGUAUUGGUGGAGCAUGUGUCCCUGUGAUCAAUCUAAGGAUGUGCAAAGUUCAAAUCCAUUAUCCUUUACUAAUGGCUGUUAAUAACUUUAAUGAAAGUAAUCUAUCUUGUUUGAAGCAUAGAAGGAAUAUUUCACAAAAAAUAUAAAUAAGAUUUUGAUGAAAGAAUUAGCUAAUUUCUUCUCUGCUCUGGAUAUAAUAAGCAGAGUCAGUCUUUCUAAUUCAAAGCUAAGAAGUGCAAUAUCUAUUUUAAUAUUGCACUAUUGGUGACAGACUACAGAAUAAAAGAAAGAAAAAUGAUCUACCAUAAACCAAAUGAAUUUCUUUGGCCAUAGUUGGGAGUAAUGAAACAGUUCUUAUAAUUGAUUUGCUUCCAUUUAUCCCCCUUUUCUUUUAAUGACUAAUUUUAAAGCCUAGCUCUUGAAUUUGCAACUAUUUUUCUUUGUGAUACCUUUAAACUUAUUUUACUGUCUUAUCAUAGUGCAUUCAUUUGCAAAACUUAAAGAAGUCUAGUGCAUUUGGUGCAGGAAUAUAAUUAUCUAUAUUAAAAGAUAAUGGUAGGGAGAGACCACGGGGCAAUGUUGAAGUAUUAGGCUAUUCCAGGAGCAGUGGAAAUUAUAUAAGAAUUUUAGAAAGCUCAGUCGCUACAGCCUGGGGAAUGAAUUGGAGAGCAGAGAAAGUGAAACUUUAUUGAUUAGGUGAAAGAUGAUGGUUGGAGUAGAGCUGAAAAGAGGCAAACAGAUUAAAAAUAUUUAAAGGGUUGCAUUGAUAGAAAGUGGUGAUUAAACGAAGAAGGGGCAGACCAUACCUUCCUUGAAUAGCCUCUGCUAUUGCCCUAUGCGUUUUCCUGACCCAAGACUCAGGACUCUGUCACUCACUACCCCAAAUAAAUCCACUUGUCAAUGCAUUCAUAAGAAAUAUGCAUUUGCCUGAAUAUUUCACGGGGAAAUAGAAAUUUGAUUACACUGCACACCGCAGAGUAAAAGUCAAUCUUAUCCCCUCAUUGGAUAUCGCUCUUCAAAUGUCUCUUUCCUGUGUGAGUUUUUCCCUUUCCUUCCUCUUCUAUUUCUCUCUCUCCAGCCCCUUUCCCCUCCUGUAUGCUGGUAGAUUUUAUCCACUUCUACCCCCUUUUUUAUAUAGGACAAUUUAACCCUUCUGUUUGUUUCCCUCCAAUUAAUAUGUUCAUGUGGCAGCCCAGCUUUGUCUUUUGCUUAGCAUCUAUUAUUUUUAGGAGGUAGGGGAUGCUAUAGAUAACAGUCAGUAUUUCUGUUGUCUUUCAUUUACCUCAAGGUACACUAUAGCUUUGGAACUACCCUGUUAUUGUCUUUCCUUAAAAUACUGGUA
Long non-coding RNA from Heterocephalus glaber (naked mole-rat), 7352 nucleotides. The record is from Ensembl. NCBI's taxonomy places the organism in Eukaryota, Metazoa, Chordata, Mammalia, Rodentia, Bathyergidae.